CAAAAUCAGUCCUUAAGUAUAGAAAUACAGACCAUAUCUAGACCGUCAGAUCUGGAGAUUAAUGGCUAAGAUCUGGAGUGACUCCUCGUUUUAUAUGGGUCAUAAUAAGGCCGAUCUAUGUCAUGUUAGGGGUAAUUUAGGAAACAAAAAUAUUAAUAACUGUCGUUCCGUUUUUAGGCCCUGAUUAAUUGGGAUUGGGAGUAAUUACUGCACACGUUCCAUUCUAUUUCACUCUCUUUCAACAAAAACUCUCCAAUCUCCCUCAAAUCUUCUUCUUCUACCACCAAAUCAACAAAAAAUCAUUCAACAAAAAAUCGUCUCGGCCCCUCAAAAUCGUCGUCUCCUCCACAGAUUCGUCUUCUCCUCCACAAAAAUGUCGCCUCCUCAAAAACCCUAUUCCUACUCCAGAAAAUCGACGGAGAAGGGGAACCAAAACCUACUUUACCACCAAAUCAACAAAAACCCUUCUCCAAAUCAACAAAAACCCUUCUCCAAAUCAAAGCGUCUCCACCUCAAAACCGUCGUCUCCUCCACAAAAUCGUUGUCUCCACCAGAAAAUCGAAUCCUCCACGAUUUUGGAAGACGGUGAACCAAAAGCCUACUUCAACAAUGGUGGACACUCGAGCAUCUGGAUCUGCUAGUCAUGACGGAAAAAAGGACGUUCUUUUGUAAGUAUUUAACAAUGAUUGGUUGUCACAAUCAAUGCAAAUCAGUGAUCAACGCACCUAUUCAGAGGUUGAAAAUGAGUUGGACAACGACAGACAAUGUUGAUGACAACAGGGUUUAUUUGCUUAGACACCUUGAAGUCUACAUGGGUGAAAGAGAGGGUCAAUGACUUUUGAAUGCUUUCCUCUUGUUUUUUGUAGACGAUAGCCCAUGCGAUGAAUAUUACUCGAUACAUUGGGUCACAAUAAAUCAAUAUUUGAGUUAUAGAA
This is a long non-coding RNA of Salvia splendens (bonfire salvia), 935 nucleotides long. RefSeq lists it as uncharacterized. The transcript is spliced from 2 exons. The record is from RefSeq and is a predicted model, not a curated record. Lineage: Eukaryota; Viridiplantae; Streptophyta; Magnoliopsida; Lamiales; Lamiaceae.